Molecule: ribosomal RNA, 1481 nt
Filed under: Halorarum salinum
Lineage: Archaea; Methanobacteriati; Methanobacteriota; Halobacteria; Halobacteriales; Haloferacaceae
Description: bacterial SSU rRNA
Rfam family: Archaeal small subunit ribosomal RNA
Source: RNAcentral
AUUCCGGUUGAUCCUGCCGGAGGUCAUUGCUAUCGGGGUCCGAUUUAGCCAUGCUAGUUGCACGAGUUCACACUCGUAGCGAAUAGCUCCGUAACACGUGGCCAAACUACCCUACGGACCGGAAUAACCUCGGGAAACUGAGGCUAAUUCCGGAUACGGUUCCUACGCUGGAACGCCGGGAACCUGAAACGUUCAGGCGCCGUAGGAUGUGGCUGCGGCCGAUUAGGUAGACGGUGGGGUAACGGCCCACCGUGCCGAUAAUCGGUACGGGUUGUGAGAGCAAGAACCCGGAGACGGAAUCUGAGACAAGAUUCCGGGCCCUACGGGGCGCAGCAGGCGCGAAACCUUUACACUGCACGCGAGUGCGAUAGGGGGACCCCGAGUGCGAGGGCAUAUAGUCCUCGCUUUUCUGGACGGUAAGGCCGUCCAGGAACAAGAGCUGGGCAAGACCGGUGCCAGCCGCCGCGGUAAUACCGGCAGCUCGAGUGAUGACCGAUUUUAUUGGGCCUAAAGCGUCCGUAGCCGGCCGGGCAAGUCCGUCGGGAAAUCCACCAGCUCAACUGGUGGGCGUCCGGCGGAAACUGCUCGGCUUGGGACAGGAAGACCCGAGGGGUACGUCCGGGGUAGGAGUGAAAUCCCGUAAUCCUGGACGGACCGCCGAUGGCGAAAGCACCUCGGGAGGACUGAUCCGACGGUGAGGGACGAAAGCUGGGGUCUCGAACCGGAUUAGAUACCCGGGUAGUCCCAGCCGUAAACGAUGUCUGCUAGGUGUGGCGCUGGCUACGAGCCAGCGCUGUGCCGUAGGGAAGCCGUGAAGCAGACCGCCUGGGAAGUACGUCUGCAAGGAUGAAACUUAAAGGAAUUGGCGGGGGAGCACUACAACCGGAGGAGCCUGCGGUUUAAUUGGACUCAACGCCGGACAUCUCACCAGCUCCGACAGUAGGAAUGAAGGUCAGUGUGAUGAGCUUACUCGACCUACUGAGAGGAGGUGCAUGGCCGCCGUCAGCUCGUACCGUGAGGCGUCCUGUUAAGUCAGGCAACGAGCGAGACCCGCGUCCCUAAUUGCCAGCAGUACCCUUGUGGUAGCUGGGUACAUUAGGGAGACUGCCGCCGCCAAGGCGGAGGAAGGAACGGGCAACGGUAGGUCAGUAUGCCCCGAAUGAGCUGGGCUACACGCGGGCUACAAUGGCCGAGACAAUGGGUUCCUACCCCGAGAGGGGACGGUAAUCUCACAAACUCGGUCGUAGUUCGGAUUGUGGGCUGAAACUCGCCCACAUGAAGCUGGAUUCGGUAGUAAUCGCGUGUCAGAAGCGCGCGGUGAAUACGUCCCUGCUCCUUGCACACACCGCCCGUCAAAGCACCCGAGUGAGGUCCGGAUGAGGCCCCCGUUGGGGGGUCGAAUCUGGGCUUCGCAAGGGGGCUUAAGUCGUAACAAGGUAGCCGUAGGGGAAUCUGCGGCUGGAUCACCUCCUACUGACCGG